CAGGCUUAACACAUGCAAGUCGAGGGGUAUAUUUCUUCGGGAAUAGAGACCGGCGCACGGGUGCGUAACGCGUAUGCAAUCUACCUUUUACAGAGGGAUAGCCCAGAGAAAUUUGGAUUAAUACCUCAUAGUAUAAUGACUCGGCAUCGGGAUAUUAUUAAAGUCACAACGGUAAAAGAUGAGCAUGCGUCCCAUUAGCUAGUUGGUAAGGUAACGGCUUACCAAGGCUACGAUGGGUAGGGGUCCUGAGAGGGAGAUCCCCCACACUGGUACUGAGACACGGACCAGACUCCUACGGGAGGCAGCAGUGAGGAAUAUUGGACAAUGGGCGCAAGCCUGAUCCAGCCAUGCCGCGUGCAGGAUGACGGUCCUAUGGAUUGUAAACUGCUUUUGUACGAGAAGAAACACUCCUAUGUAUAGGAGCUUGACGGUAUCGUAAGAAUAAGGAUCGGCUAACUCCGUGCCAGCAGCCGCGGUAAUACGGAGGAUCCAAGCGUUAUCCGGAAUCAUUGGGUUUAAAGGGUCCGUAGGCGGUUUAGUAAGUCAGUGGUGAAAGCCCAUCGCUCAACGGUGGAACGGCCAUUGAUACUGCUGAACUUGAAUUAUUAGGAAGUAACUAGAAUAUGUAGUGUAGCGGUGAAAUGCUUAGAGAUUACAUGGAAUACCAAUUGCGAAGGCAGGUUACUACUAAUUGAUUGACGCUGAUGGACGAAAGCGUGGGUAGCGAACAGGAUUAGAUACCCUGGUAGUCCACGCCGUAAACGAUGGAUACUAGCUGUU
Molecule: ribosomal RNA, 780 nt
Filed under: Flavobacterium succinicans
Lineage: Bacteria; Pseudomonadati; Bacteroidota; Flavobacteriia; Flavobacteriales; Flavobacteriaceae
Description: bacterial SSU rRNA
Rfam family: Bacterial small subunit ribosomal RNA
Source: RNAcentral